UGUCCUGGGAAUUGGGUUCUCUCACAACGUCUUUCUGAAUUAUCACUUUGUAUUGAGGCAAGAGUUUAAUCUUUCAAGAGGCCAGUGGUUCUGAGGGCAGAGGGGAAGGCUGGUGCUACCCUUGGGCAUGGGAGAAGCAUUAAGAUCAAGAACACAGCUACUGCAGCCAGGCUGCCUGGAUCUGAAAUUGGUUCUGCCACCAGUGGAAGAUGGAAGUUGAAGAAUGCCGUGGAAAGAAGAUGAAAUGGGCAAUGGUGUAUCCAUUAGUCCUAGAUCCAGGGAACCGUCUUUGUAAGUAGACCUGCCUUCAAAUGUCCCACAGAGUCUGCGGAGUUUGCAGAACAACUUAAGAGCACUCCAAACCAGAGUCAGAGACAUCCCUGCCACGCGGCUAAUAGAUUUAUAACUCUGGGCAAAGGUUUCAACAAAUACGAUUUCUUCACUCCAAAGUCCACCUAUGUGUGUUCCCUGAAAUAAAGAACAGUGCAUUUCUGUCUGCUGGUCUCUAAUCCCAGAAGCCUCGGCAGCAGAGCCCGGAGUAGAUCCAAAAAUGUCUUUUUAUAGCUCUGGAGACCAUGACUGGCUCAAACAGGAUGACGCUCUGUGGGGUCACCCAUGGACUUCAUUGUUUUCUUUUUUUCAAACUGACAUAGUGUCUGCAGAGAAAAGACUACCCAGGUAGUCCAGAAAAAAAGAGACUAUGUUGUGACUUAAGUGGUAGAAAUGGAAAGAUCCUAACAUGGAGCAUUGGUGAAAACACACUUCUUAUCCAGGCAAUUGAUUAGAAUGUUGCAAUUGAAAAGUUUUACUCAGAGAAAGAAAAUGAGUAAAAAACAAAGUAAAUGAACAAAAAGGAGAAGAUCUGGGAUUAGGUCUGAUGAUCUAGAACAUACAAGGAACAUAAUUCAGUUUCUGAUUCUUUAUCUGGGAUCUUGGAACAUGAUCUGGGGCAUAAAUCAGAAUCUUCAAUGGCUGUAUUACCAUGCCUGCCGCACACCCUUCCCAUGAAGAUAGGCAACAGGGAAGGUGCUUGAAUUCUAUCAGACCCAUGGGUGUCCCCAAGCAAUUUGUUUCUUUAGCAUCUCACAUGAACAUGGCUGAAAUCACAGAUAAAGCUCAGCUGGGGCUGGACUGGGGGAGCGCUCCAUGUGACAGUGCUAUUCUGAAAAACAUCUGACUUGAAGCCAAGUGACACUAAACCCACUUUAGUGAGUGUUUUGGUAUAAGGUGUCUAUUCCAGAGCCCAGCCCGAAUACUAGUGGAACCGAGUAUCGUAUGACAAUCUGAUUUACCACAAAGUCUUGUGGCAGAUUCCGCAGGUAUGGUGUGAACAUUUGAAUGAUCUUAUCUGGGAAGGAGCCAAGUGGUCUACGGAACAUCUGAAAAUGAAACAAUACCCUGCAGAGAAGCUGUGCCUGCCUUAGAAACUCUGAUAAAAAGUCCCUGAAACUUGAAAACCACACAAACAUUGUCUUGGUUCUUGAGAAGUUCAUUGUCUAGUGGGGAAAGCAGAUAAAAAAUGACAAUCUUAAAAUUAUUUAAGUGCUAUACUAAGAGUAUAUCCAGGGUGCUGUCAGAACACAGAAGAGGGACACCUCGUCCAGCCAGCCAGUGAGGGCCAGGGAAGGCUGCCACGAUAGCUAGUUAUAAGAAAUUGAGAGUACAGUUGGGACAUCUUGUCUUGAAGAUGACAUUAGCUUUCCAAAUACAUCAGACUCAUCCCAGAACCAAAGGAUUUAGCUUUUCUCAUAAAAUCUGUAUGUAUUUAUUCAUCUGCAUCCUCAAUGAAUGGGAGAAUGGUCAGAAAUAUGUCAUUGCUCAGACACAGAAUGACUGAAGAGCUUUGAACCUUGACCUGAAAAGGAGUGUACUCUCCUACUCUGUCUCUCUGAGAACCUGCUAUUGCCAUGUGUACAAGUCCGUACUAGCCUGCUGUAUGAUGGAGACCAUGAGGGAAGAGCUGAGCCAAAAGCCAAAGCCCCAAAUAUGUGAGAGAACAAGGCCAACCCACAGAUGACCUACCAGAGGACCCCAUCCAUGUGAGAGGGCCUAGAAGAAUUGAGAUGACCUGUAGACUCUGGAAUCCAGACUUGCUCAUUUUUUUAUUUGGUUGUAUGUUACACAGCAUUAUUGUGGCAAUAGAUAACUGAUACAUAUAAUAUACAUCUUAUCUCUUCAAAUGCAA
Long non-coding RNA from Manis javanica (Malayan pangolin), 2185 nucleotides. RefSeq lists it as uncharacterized. The record is from RefSeq and is a predicted model, not a curated record. Lineage: Eukaryota; Metazoa; Chordata; Mammalia; Pholidota; Manidae.